CGCGGGGUGGAGCAGAGGCAGCUCGUCGGGCUCAUAACCCGAAGGUCGCAGGUUCGAGUCCUGCCCCCGCUACCA
RNAcentral lists this transfer RNA (75 nucleotides) under Chloroflexota bacterium. Its description in RNAcentral is "tRNA-Met". It matches the Rfam family "tRNA". Rfam says of the family: Transfer RNA (tRNA) molecules are approximately 80 nucleotides in length. Their secondary structure includes four short double-helical elements and three loops (D, anti-codon, and T loops). The record is from RNAcentral. RNAcentral also lists the same sequence under 1 other name. Lineage: Bacteria; Bacillati; Chloroflexota.